This 654-nucleotide ribosomal RNA is filed under the name uncultured bacterium. RNAcentral's name for it is "bacterial SSU rRNA". It matches the Rfam family "Bacterial small subunit ribosomal RNA", at positions 139 to 788 of the family's 1533-position model. The record is from RNAcentral.
GGGGAUAACUACUGGAAACGGUAGCUAAUACCGCAUAACGUCGCAAGACCAAAGAGGGGGACCUUCGGGCCUCUUGCCAUCGGAUGUGCCCAGAUGGGAUUAGCUUGUUGGUGGGGUAACGGCUCACCAAGGCGACGAUCCCUAGCUGGUCUGAGAGGAUGACCAGCCACACUGGAACUGAGACGCGGUCCAGACUCCUACGGGAGGCAGCAGUGGGGAAUAUUGCACAAUGGGCGCAAGCCUGAUGCAGCCAUGCCGCGUGUAUGAAGAAGGCCUUCGGGUUGUAAAGUACUUUCAGCGGGGAGGAAGGGAGUAAAGUUAAUACCUUUGCUCAUUGACGUUACCCGCAGAAGAGGCACCGGCUAACUCCGUGCCAGCAGCCGCGGUAAUACGGAGGGUGCAAGCGUUAAUCGGAAUUACUGGGCGUAAAGCGCACGCAGGCGGUUUGUUAAGUCAGAUGUGAAAUCCCCGGGCUCAACCUGGGAACUGCAUCUGAUACUGGCAAGCUUGAGUCUCGUAGAGGGGGGUAGAAUUCCAGGUGUAGCGGUGAAAUGCGUAGAGAUCUGGAGGAAUACCGGUGGCGAAGGCGGCCCCCUGGACGAAGACUGACGCUCAGGUGCGAAAGCGUGGGGAGCAAACAGGAUUAGAUACCCU